This is a non-coding RNA of Musa acuminata subsp. malaccensis (wild Malaysian banana), 1120 nucleotides long. Lineage: Eukaryota; Viridiplantae; Streptophyta; Magnoliopsida; Zingiberales; Musaceae. The record is from RefSeq and is a predicted model, not a curated record.
CCUCAUUUAUGCAUUUGUUUAUUGUGUAAUGCUCAUUUUAAGUCCGGGUUAUUCUUUUCCAGAGGCUAUAAUUAAGUGGCAGAGGAGUCUGAGGUGCCAUGCAGGGAAGAGUUUAACCUUCCUACGUUUGUCCAGAAGUACAAGAAGCUCCGGAAUAAUGAGUUUAAUCUUCCCACUUUUCUCUAGAAGUACAAGAAGCUCCACUGGCACUUGUUUGUCUUGCUGCGAAGAUAUCUGAUUUCCAAAUUCAACUUGUUAAAAAUAAAAAUGUUGUCAUUCACAAUUCACAUACAAUACCACCUUAUAUGGUUUUGCCUAAUUUUUCCUAUUCUUUCUCUACCACGUUGUUGAAGUCCAUCAUCAGUGUCUGCACAGUUCAUUACCUCACUGUGUCAAAUUAUGAUUCAUCCUACAAUCAAGUAGGAAGUAGGGUGUACUAAGCAGGUGGCAACAUAUGUGUAUAUGUUUUGUUUGAUUCAUAUUGUUGGUCCGAAAAGUGGGGGACAUUUGUAUUCAGUGGACCUGAUGAUGCAUCAUGUAGUCUUCAUCACUUCACAUGCCCCUACAUUCGAUUGAUUUCCAUAUGAUCUGACUACAAGCAUUGAACCCAUGAAUGGUGUUUACAGCUGAAGGGCAGAAGAAUGAGCUACCAUAGAGGCAUGAAGUGCUUGAAAAUAUUACUUUCAUGAAGUUCCUGGAACGGGACUCUGGAAUGUGUUUCAGAGAUGGAAUUUUCUCCUCUGCGUCCCCUUCUACAGUCGGUGUAAGCAGAGGCCCACACAAGACGAGACAAAAUAAUGGAAGAGGAAAAAGAGUGAUUGCCGACGCGUCUCUGACACGCUUAUGCUGGAAAAUGCAUGUACUGCAACGCGUUUGACAGGUUGGAGGUACUUCCUGCCACCCUAGACAUCAAACCACACCGUUCUGCAUCUUUAAUAUUGCAACACAUUGAAUUAUUUCAUUAUGCAGAUGAAAAUGGCAAAUGAAUAGUACACUUCCACCACCAUUGCAAUCUCCACCAUCAUAUGUCCCCUUUGGGCUACUCAAACAAAGGAAGAAUACCAGACUCUUCCACCUUAACCAGGAAGAGAAACAUUUAUCUUCUACCAACACAACUACA